This 71-nucleotide transfer RNA is filed under the name Ovis aries (sheep). It matches the Rfam family "tRNA". Rfam says of the family: Transfer RNA (tRNA) molecules are approximately 80 nucleotides in length. Lineage: Eukaryota; Metazoa; Chordata; Mammalia; Artiodactyla; Bovidae. The record is from Rfam by way of RNAcentral.
UCCCAGGUGGCUCAGUAGUAAAGAACCCACCUGCCAAGCAGGAGACUCAGGUUUGAUCCCUGAUAUGGGAC